GACGAACGCUGGCGGCGUGCUUAACACAUGCAAGUCGAGCGGGAUCCAACCGGUGGCAACACCGGGGAAGAUCUAGCGGCGAACGGGUGAGUAACACGUGAGCAACCUGCCCCGAAGACUGGGAUAACACCGGGAAACCGGUGCUAAUACCGGAUGUCGUCAUUAGGCCGCAUGACCUGAUGAUGAAAGGAUUCAUCGCUUCGGGAGGGCUCGCGGGCUAUCAGCUUGNGGUGGGUAACGGCCUAUCAAGGCGACGACGGCUAGCUGGUCUGAGAGGACGACCAGCCACACGUGGGACUGAGACACGGCCCAGACUCCUACGGGAGGCCAGCAGUGGGGAAUAUUGGACAAUGGGCGAAAGCCUGAUCCAGC
Molecule: ribosomal RNA, 372 nt
Filed under: uncultured bacterium
Lineage: Bacteria
Description: bacterial SSU rRNA
Rfam family: Bacterial small subunit ribosomal RNA
Source: RNAcentral